AUUGAACGCUGGCGGUAUGCUUAAGACAUGCAAGUCGAACGGAAUCUUCGGAUUCAGUGGCGGACGGGUGAGUAACACGUGGGAAUCUACUGAGUAGUGGGGGACAGCCCGGCGAAAGCCGGAUUAAUACCGCAUACGCCUACGGGGAAAGGCGCAAGCCGCUAUUUAAUGAGCCCGCGUAAGAUUAGCUAGUUGGUGAGGUAAAGGCCCACCAAGGCAACGAUCUUUAGCUGGUCUGAGAGGAUGGCCAGCCACAUCGGGACUGAGACACGGCCCGGACUCCUACGGGAGGCAGCAGUCGGGAAUAUUGGACAAUGGGCGCAAGCCUGAUCCAGCAAUACCGCGUGUGUGAAGAAGGCCUGCGGGUUGUAAAGCACUUUCAGUUGGGAAGAUAAUGACGUUACCAACAGAAGAAGCACCGGCUAACUCCGUGCCAGCAGCCGCGGUAAAG
This 451-nucleotide ribosomal RNA is filed under the name uncultured bacterium. RNAcentral describes it as "bacterial SSU rRNA". It matches the Rfam family "Bacterial small subunit ribosomal RNA", at positions 30 to 525 of the family's 1533-position model. The record is from RNAcentral.